Molecule: ribosomal RNA, 518 nt
Filed under: uncultured marine eukaryote
Lineage: Eukaryota
Description: SSU rRNA
Rfam family: Eukaryotic small subunit ribosomal RNA
Source: RNAcentral
GGUUAAAAAGCUCGUAGUUGGAUCUCGGCGGGCAGGGGGUGGUUCGCUCUUCAGCGCUACUGCCCCGCUUUGCCCGUGUGAUUGGCGGAGGUUUCGGGGUGCUCUUCGUUGAGUGACUCGGAGCGCCGUCAGGUUUACUUUGAAAAAAUUAGAGUGCUCAAAGCAGGCUUUUCACGCUUGAAUAUUCGUGCAUGGAAUAAUGGAAUAGGAACUCGUUUCUAUUUUGUUGGUUUUCGGAAAUCGAGUUAAUGGUUAACAGGGACAAUUGGGGGCAUUAGUAUUCAGACGACAGAGGUGAAAUUCUUGGACCGUCUGAAGACUGACUACUGCGAAAGCAUUUGCCAAGAGUGUUUUCAUUAAUCAAGAACGAAAGUUAGAGGUUCGAAGGCGAUCAGAUACCGCCCUAGUUCUAACCAUAAACGAUGCCAGCUAGCGAUCUGCCGAGUUUUUUUUGUAGGCUCCGCAGGAAGCUUUCGGGAAACCAAAGCUUUUGGGUUCCGGGGGAAGUAUGGUUGCAA